This 816-nucleotide ribosomal RNA is filed under the name Triticum aestivum (bread wheat). RNAcentral's name for it is "partial small subunit ribosomal RNA". Lineage: Eukaryota; Viridiplantae; Streptophyta; Magnoliopsida; Poales; Poaceae. The record is from RNAcentral.
AUGAAAAAUCGGGCAAAAACCGGAACAAUAAGGGCCAAGCCCACUCCAAAGAUUGACAUACAGGGCAAAGCCCACCCUCAUCGACAACAUGUCGACCUACAGCCAGACAACGCAGCUCCGACUCUGACGGAGAACUCAGAAGAACAAAACCAGGUGAAAGUUGGCGCCACGGAAGAUCGCCGAACGGGCCACUUGCAGCCAGUCAUCGUAUACCACAGGGCCCUGCCACCGCAGCUUCGACUCCACAGCAACAAACAAACCGAGGCAAUACCGCGAACACGUCGGAGAAGAGCCGUCUACCGCAACCAUUGCCGCGUCGCCGACAUCGCUCCCACCAUUAUCGUUACCACAAAAGCCUGGUCGCCACAGAGAUCCUCUCGGGGCCGCCGCCCCGACAUCCACCGCUCUGUCGCGCCUAGCGCACUCCACUGGCAUCGCCUUCUGGGGCCGCCGCCCCGACAUACCACCGCUCCCCUCGAGCAGCAACGCCGCACAGCCCAGCUGCCCGCAGCCCACGCUACUCAGGGCAACUGCUCGCAGACCACGAACGCCGCACCACAUCCGGGGCCGCCGCCCCGACAUAAAGUCAGACCGCCCCCUCUGAGGCGCAUCGACCGAGCCGACACCCCCACCGCCCAAGCGGGACAAGGAUGCCACUCAACCAAUGUUGAGAUUGAGCCCCACCUCAUAGAGCUGCCACUCGCAUUGUUUCCGAGAUCGCCAUCUCGGCGCACAAACAGAAACCACCCGGAGCCACUGCCCCGGCGUCCACUGUACCCGCCGAGAAAGAGAUCCGUGCAAACCGCAAAAUGUUGA